GUAAGGAGGCACCGCCACACAGACGCUUCACCCCUGCUCUACGUGGCGACUCUGAAAAACGCAGGCCGUGGAUUGUCCCUGCGUUAAACUGCAUGCCACAAACUGCAGUAUUUUUUUUCCAACUCAAAACUCGAUUAUAGUUAAGAGACCUUUUUUUUUUAAAUCUCAUCUUCAAUCUGAAGCAGUAGAUGAAGAAGGGUGGGAAAAAAAAGAAAGUGUCCGAUUAAUAGACAGACGAAGGGGACACAGGCAAAGAAUGAGGGGAAAAUGGAGAGCAUGGUCUGCGGGAGAAAGUGAGAAAGAGAGAGAGAGAGGUUGGAAAAAGAGUACCGGCACUGGCAAGAAAAACGGGAGGGGGAAAAGAGGAGAAGGGGGACCAGUAGGGGAUAGACCUAGGAAGGAGGGACGACUGGACAGAAAAUGGCAAAAAUCGCGGGAAAAGGAGAAAAAACAAAACUCCAGAAUCAGAUGAAGCUGGACUUCUGCUUCACUCAGGCUUGCAGUCUCUGGUUGCCUUUCAUUUUUAGUUUUUUGACAUGAUUUUUCAUCACUUCUGCGAUCACCCUCUCAUUCAUCUAUUGAGUCACCGAGACAACCUGAACCUUCUCAUAGAAGAUGUUUAUCCGGAAUGCCAUGGUCAACUGAAGCUCCCCAGUGAGAGCAGAGCCAUGGGAAAAGCCUCCGACUAGAUCCCGGUUAUGAGGAUGUGAUCGAGUCGUGUUUGAGCAGACCCGUCCAGACGAAACAUUUCAUGUCGGACUUCAUCGGCAUAGAUAACGGAAAGACAAGAGCGAGCUGGAACUGAUGCUGACAGACGUGAUGAUUUACCACCAUCACACUCGUAAUAUUAAUAAGUAUGUAUAGUGUUCAUUUUGAUUUCUGACUUUAUUUUAUACGCAGUAGAUGAUAGAUUAUUAUAUCGUAUGUAUCAGGC
Molecule: non-coding RNA, 934 nt
Organism: Paralichthys olivaceus (Japanese flounder)
Lineage: Eukaryota; Metazoa; Chordata; Actinopteri; Pleuronectiformes; Paralichthyidae
Source: RefSeq, a predicted model, not a curated record